CCUACGGGGGACAGCAGUGAGGAAUAUUGGUCAAUGGACGAGAGUCUGAACCAGCCAAGUAGCGUGAAGGAUGACUGCCCUAUGGGUUGUAAACUUCUGUUAUAUGGGAAUAAAAUGUUCCACGUGUGGGAUGUUGUAUGUACCAUAUGAAUAAGGAUCGGCUAACUCCGUGCCAGCAGCCGCGGUAAUACGGAGGAUCCGAGCGUUAUCCGGAUUUAUUGGGUUUAAAGGGAGCGUAGGUGGAUUGUUAAGUCAGUUGUGAAAGUUUGCGGCUCAACCGUAAAAUUGCCGUUGACACUGGCAGUCUUGCGUACAGUAGCGGUGGGCGGCAUUCGUGGUGUAGCGG
Molecule: ribosomal RNA, 346 nt
Filed under: uncultured bacterium
Lineage: Bacteria
Description: partial 16S ribosomal RNA
Rfam family: Bacterial small subunit ribosomal RNA
Source: RNAcentral